UACGUAGGGUGCAAGCGUUAUUCGGAAUUACUGGGCGUGAAGCGUGCGCAGGCGGUUAUGCAAGUCAGAUGUGAAAUCCCCGGGCUCAACCUGGGAACUGCCUUUGUGACUGCAUAGCUAGAGUGCGGCAGAGGGGGAUGGAAUUCCGCGUGUAGCAGUGAAAUGCGUAGAUAUGCGGAGGAACACCGAUGGCGAAGGCAAUCCCCUGGGCCUGCACUGACGCUCAUGCGCGAAAGCGUGGGGAGCAAACAGG
RNAcentral lists this ribosomal RNA (253 nucleotides) under uncultured bacterium. RNAcentral describes it as "partial 16S ribosomal RNA". It matches the Rfam family "Bacterial small subunit ribosomal RNA", at positions 524 to 776 of the family's 1533-position model. The record is from RNAcentral.